This is a long non-coding RNA of Armigeres subalbatus, 280 nucleotides long. RefSeq lists it as uncharacterized. The record is from RefSeq and is a predicted model, not a curated record. NCBI's taxonomy places the organism in Eukaryota, Metazoa, Arthropoda, Insecta, Diptera, Culicidae. The transcript is spliced from 3 exons.
CUUCAUCUUAAAUUUGAAUUUGUUCUAAUUUUCAACUGUUGUCAUGGGUUUAACCAAAUUUGUUUGUUUAUCAUUUUCCGAUCGAUGUCGGUUGAGUAUUUUGGUCGUUUCAUAUCAAGAAUAAGUUAUGAAAUCGGGACAAUGCACUUUCAAACACUUCCGAAUAAAUAAAAAACUAUAGCGGUGUGUGGGGCCAGCCCUUCGUGAUUUCGCUUGACGACGAUGAACGCUUACAGAUCUGAUGUACAAGAGGAAUGCGCAUUUAAAGGUUUUGCUUCCA